This 509-nucleotide ribosomal RNA is filed under the name uncultured bacterium. Its description in RNAcentral is "partial 16S ribosomal RNA". The stretch from base 20 to 332 matches the Rfam family "Bacterial small subunit ribosomal RNA", at positions 47 to 358 of the family's 1533-position model. The record is from RNAcentral.
GACGAACGCUGGCGGCGUGCUUAACACAUGCAAGUCGAACGGAAAGGCCCUGCUUUUGUGGGGUGCUCGAGUGGCGAACGGGUGAGUAACACGUGAGUAACCUGCCCUUGACUUUGGGAUAACUUCAGGAAACUGGGGCUAAUACCGGAUAGGAGCUCCUGCUGCAUGGUGGGGGUUGGAAAGUUUCGGCGGUUGGGGAUGGACUCGCGGCUUAUCAGCUUGUUGGUGGGGUAGUGGCUUACCAAGGCUUUGACGGGUAGCCGGCCUGAGAGGGUGACCGGCCAGAGGGGGAGGCGGAGACAGCCGAGAUGCGUAGGGGAGGCAGCGGGGGGAAGGGUGGGAAGGCGGGCGGAGGCGGGAGGCAGCAGGGCGGAGGGGGGGCUGCGGGGUUGGGGGUGGCACACCGCCUGCGCCGGGGGAGGAGCGGGGGUGCCGGGAAGGAGAAAAGAAGAACCGGCUACCUACGGCACAGCGGCAGGGGUAAUAGGAGGAAUCGCAGCCGUCCGAAC